CUUAGGAAUCUACCUAGUAGUGGGGGAUANCUCGGGGAAACUCGAAUUAAUACCGCAUACGUCCUACGGGAGAAAGCAGGGGAUCAUUAGACCUUGCGCUAUUAGAUGANCCUAAGUCGGAUUAGCUAGAUGGUGGGGUAAAGGCCUACCNUGGCGACGAUCUGUANCUGGUCUGAGAGGAUGAUCAGCCACACCGGGACUGANACACGGCCCGGACUCCUACGGGAGGCAGCAGUGGGGAAUAUUGGACAAUGGGGGGAACCCUGAUCCAGCCAUGCCGCGUGUGNGAAGAAGGCCUUUUGGUUGUAAAGCACUUUANGCAGUGAANAAGACUCUUCGGUUAAUACCCGGGGACGAUGAC
Molecule: ribosomal RNA, 361 nt
Filed under: Psychrobacter sp. KR04-79
Lineage: Bacteria; Pseudomonadati; Pseudomonadota; Gammaproteobacteria; Moraxellales; Moraxellaceae
Description: partial 16S ribosomal RNA
Rfam family: Bacterial small subunit ribosomal RNA
Source: RNAcentral